This 433-nucleotide ribosomal RNA is filed under the name uncultured bacterium. RNAcentral's name for it is "partial 16S ribosomal RNA". It matches the Rfam family "Bacterial small subunit ribosomal RNA", at positions 29 to 507 of the family's 1533-position model. The record is from RNAcentral.
AACGAACGCUGGCGGCAUGCCUAACACAUGCAAGUCGAACGAGACCUCCGGGCCUAGUGGCGCUCGUGGGCGUAACGCGGGGGAACUUGCACUUAGGUUCGGAAUAACUCCCCGUAGGGGAUGCUCAUACCGGUUAGUGUCAUCGGACCAAAGAUCUAUGGCCGUGGGAUGGGCGCGCGUCGGAUUGGCGAGUUGGUAGUGUACAAGCCGACCAUGGCGAGGAUGCAUAGCUGGUCGGAGAGGAUGAUCAGCCACACUGGGACUGCGACACGGCCCAGACUCGUACGCGGGGGAGCAGUAGGUAAUAUUAGGCGAUGGGCGCAGGCCUGAUACAGCAACGCCGGGGGAGUGAGGCAGGCGUUAGGGUUGUAAAGCUCUUUUAGCCGGGAUGAUAAUGACAGUACCGGGAGAAUAAGCACCGGCUAACUCCGUG